AAAAUAAUUUCAUGUUUUUUCAAAUAGAAUUUUUCAGAUUCAGCUAUCAUUAUUACUCUUUCAAGUUUCAUUGCAAUUGACGCAUGAAUGAAUGUGUUUUUGAAAGCUCAUUGACUUUGAAGAGUGUUUCCUCAUUAUGCUGUCGAUACUAGAUACUAUUGAAUUUUUCAUGAUUUUGUAAACCCCAUCACGAAAUUCAGAUGUAUUCAAGUGAAAUUAGUUUGAUUUUACUCACAAACUUGACUUGUUUUGAAAAUCAAACUUUUUAUGUUGGAAUGUUUAACUUGACUUGAUUUGUUUGAAGUUGAAUAUUAUAUUGCGCAUCGUGUUUGAACCUGUACCCUGCCACUCCCCAAAUGAGUUAUUGUUCAUAAUUAGAAGAGGGCGCAAUUAAUCAACAAGAAAAAGAAAUAUACAGAUUUUUUUUUUAUGUUGCGGUAGGCGAUUCCAAAACAAUGAAAAUUGGAAAGUGAAAAUUCUUCAUUUGAGGAAUGCCAGAGAACAGGUUCAGACACGUUGAGCAAUGUGCUAUUCAAACUUUAAACAAUUUGAAAAAGUUUGAUUUCAAGCCAAACCUAAAGAUACAUAAAUCAAGUCAAGUCAAACUGUUUUUACAUUUAAAAUUUGAUUUUCAAACUAGUUUGACUUGAAUACAUCUCUGAUAUUUUCAGUUUGUGAUAGAAAUGCUCAUUUUGAAUGAGGCAAUUACCACAAGUAGCAACCGUUGGUCAGUAUUGUCAUUAAUCUUAGAAUUUUUUACAGACCACAUCUUGCAGAUCACACCUAUGCAAUCUCGCAUUUGUGUGAUGAUUGUGCCAGGCGGCGGGAUCAGGUGAUGGGAAGAGUAAGGCCAUUGCCUUCUACGUCUAGAAGGCCUUCUACGUUUAGAAGGCCUAAACGAAUACUCCACGUGCAUAUCAUCAUAGAUGAAGAUAUUCAUGAUGAGCACGAACGCCGGGAACGCCGGAAACGCAGGAAGCCUGGCACCUGAACAUGAAAAGAAGAAAAGAAAAAUAUUUUAAAGAGGGGACCACUGAAGCUAUUCAGCAAAGCUGAAAAUAGAAUUUUCGAUUUGCAAGCAAAAAACUUCUGACUGAUUAGAUAUUCUGAUUUUCAGAACAGAACUGGCAUCAUAUUAUUUCAUCGAGAAAGGAUGCUUAUAUUCGGAUAUAUCAGCCUUUAACAAGUUCCCCACAAAAAUAAAAGCGAUAAAUAAUGAAAGAUUGUUUAAAAGUCAGGUCAAACAAUUACUGCUGAUCCUGGAGCCAUAUUGCUUAUCGGAGUAUUCUGAAUGUAAAUUGGAUGAAAAUAGAUAAUGUUUAGAAAUA
Harmonia axyridis is the source of this 1328-nucleotide long non-coding RNA. RefSeq lists it as uncharacterized. The transcript has 2 exons. NCBI's taxonomy places the organism in Eukaryota, Metazoa, Arthropoda, Insecta, Coleoptera, Coccinellidae. The record is from RefSeq and is a predicted model, not a curated record.